CCUACGGGUGACAGCAGUGAGGAAUAUUGGUCAAUGGACGAGAGUCUGAACCAGCCAAGUAGCGUGAAGGAUGACUGCCCUAUGGGUUGUAAACUUCUUUUAUAAAGGAAUAAAACGAGGCACGUGUGCCUUUUUGCAUGUACUUUAUGAAUAAGGAUCGGCUAACUCCGUGCCAGCAGCCGCGGUAAUACGGAGGAUCCGAGCGUUAUCCGGAUUUAUUGGGUUUAAAGGGAGCGUAGAUGGGUUGUUAAGUCAGUUGUGAAAGUUUGCGGCUCAACCGUAAAAUUGCAAUUGAUACUGGCAGUCUAGAGUACAGGUGAGGUAGGCGGAAUUCGUGGUGUAGCGGUGAAAUGCUUAGAUAUCACGAAGAACCCCGAUUGCGAAGGCAGCUUACUAAACUGUGACUGACGUUGAUGCUCGAAAGUGUGGGUAUCAAACAGGAUUAGAUACCCGAGUAGUC
Molecule: ribosomal RNA, 460 nt
Filed under: uncultured bacterium
Lineage: Bacteria
Description: partial 16S ribosomal RNA
Rfam family: Bacterial small subunit ribosomal RNA
Source: RNAcentral